AUGAACAUGAGGAUCCCUGCUAAGCUCCUGGGGUUCCUGCUGCUCUGUCUCCCAGAUGCCAGAUGUGACAUCCAGAUGACCCAGCCUCCAUCCUCCCUGUCUGCAUCUGUAGGAGACAGAGUCACCGUCUCUUGCCAGGCUAGUCAAAGCAUUUACAACUAUUUAAAUUGGUAUCAGCAGAAACCAGGGAAAGCACCUAAGUUCCUGACCUAUAGGGCAUCCAGUUUGCAGAGGGCGAUGCCAUCUCAGUUCAGUGGCAGCGGAUAUGGAAGAGAUUUCACUCUCACCAUCAGCAGCCUGCAGCCUGAAGAUUUUGCAACUUAUUACUGUCAACAAGAGAGCAUUUUCCCUCUCCCAGUGCGACAAGUCAUAACAUCAACCGCUAGGAUAGCAGAUGAGUGA
Gorilla gorilla gorilla (western lowland gorilla) is the source of this 402-nucleotide non-coding RNA. The record is from the annotation of a RefSeq genome assembly. NCBI's taxonomy places the organism in Eukaryota, Metazoa, Chordata, Mammalia, Primates, Hominidae.